This 502-nucleotide ribosomal RNA is filed under the name uncultured bacterium. Its description in RNAcentral is "partial 16S ribosomal RNA". It matches the Rfam family "Bacterial small subunit ribosomal RNA", at positions 30 to 523 of the family's 1533-position model. The record is from RNAcentral.
AUUGAACGCUGGCGGCAUGCUUUACACAUGCAAGUCGAACGGUAACAGGUUAAGCUGACGAGUGGCGAACGGGUGAGUAACGCAUCGGAACGUGCCCGAUCGUGGGGGAUAACGCAGCGAAAGCUGCGCUAAUACCGCAUAAGAUCCGAGGAUGAAAGCGGGGGACUUUAUAGCAAUAUGAGGCCUCGCGCGAUCGGAGCGGCCGAUGUCAGAUUAGGUAGUUGGCGGGGUAAAGGCCCACCAAGCCGACGAUCUGUAGCUGGUCUGAGAGGACGACCAGCCAAACUGGGACUGAGACACGGCCCAGACUCCUACGGGAGGCAGCAGUGGGGAAUUUUGGACAAUGGGCGCAAGCCUGAUCCAGCAAUGCCGCGUGCAGGAAGAAGGCCUUCGGGUUGUAAACUGCUUUUGUACGGAGCGAAAAGGUCUUCUCUAAUAAAGAAGGCUGAUGACGGUACCGUAAGAAUAAGCACCGGCUAACUACGUGCCAGCCGCCGGGUAA